RNAcentral lists this ribosomal RNA (119 nucleotides) under Strigamia maritima. Lineage: Eukaryota; Metazoa; Arthropoda; Chilopoda; Geophilomorpha; Linotaeniidae. The record is from RNAcentral.
AUGAAUGGCCAUACUGUGCUGAAAACACUUGUUCUCGUCUAAUCUCCAAAGUUAAGCUGCAUCAGGUCAGGACAGUACUUGGAUGGGUGACUGCCUGGGAAUCUCAGAUGCUGUUUGGA